GAUGAACGCUAGCUACAGGCUUAACACAUGCAAGUCGAGGGGAAACGGCAUUGAGUGCUUGCACUCUUUGGACGUCGACCGGCGCACGGGUGAGUAACGCGUAUCCAACCUUCCCAUUACUGUGGGAUAACCUGCCGAAAGGCAGACUAAUACCGCAUAGUCUUCGAUGACGGCAUCAGAUUUGAAGUAAAGAUUUAUCGGUAAUGGAUGGGGAUGCGUCUGAUUAGCUUGUUGGCGGGGUAACGGCCCACCAAGGCGACGAUCAGUAGGGGUUCUGAGAGGAAGGUCCCCCACAUUGGAACUGAGACAUGGUCCAAACUCCUACGGGAGGCAGCAGUGAGGAAUAUUGGUCAAUGGACGGAAGUCUGAACCAGCCAAGUAGCGUGCAGGAUGACGGCCCUAUGGGUUGUAAACUGCUUUUGUAUGGGGAUAAAGUUAGGGACGUGUCCCUAUUUGCAGGUACCAUGCGAAUAAGGACCGGCUAAUUCCGUGCCAGCAGCCGCGGUAAUACGGAAGGUCCAGGCGUUAUCCGGAUUUAUUGGGUUUAAAGGGAGCGUAGGCUGGAGAUUAAGUGUGUUGUGAAAUGUGGACGCUCAACGUCUGAAUUGCAGCGCAUACUGGUUUCCUUGAGUACGCACAACGUUGGCGGAAUUCGUCGUGUAGCGGUGAAAUGCUUAGAUAUGACGAAGAACUCCGAUUGCGAAGGCAGCUGACGGGAGCGCAACUGACGCUUAAGCUCGAAGGUGCGGGUAUCAAACAGGAUUAGAUACCCUGGUAGUCCGCACAGUAAACGAUGGAUGCCCGCUGUUGGUACCUGGUAUCAGCGGCUAAGCGAAAGCAUUAAGCAUCC
RNAcentral lists this ribosomal RNA (850 nucleotides) under uncultured Bacteroidota bacterium. RNAcentral's name for it is "bacterial SSU rRNA". It matches the Rfam family "Bacterial small subunit ribosomal RNA", at positions 28 to 869 of the family's 1533-position model. The record is from RNAcentral. Lineage: Bacteria; Pseudomonadati; Bacteroidota.